AUAAAUAAAUAAAUCUUUAAAAACAAUGUAUUCAUGUUAGAAAGAUAUCAAUGAUGAUAGAGUAUAGGGGCCGGCGCUGUGACUUGGCAGGUAAAGCUGCCACCUGCGGUGUGGGCAUCCCGUAUGGGUGCUGGUUCCAGUCCUGGCUGCUUCACUUCCAAUUCAGCUCUUUCCUACGGUCUGGGAGAGCAGCAGCAGAUGGCCCAAGUCCUUGGGUCCCUGCAGCCCUGUAGGAGACUUGGAAGAAGCUCCAGGUCCUGGCUUUGGCCUUGCCCAGCUCUGGCCACUGCGGCUGUUUGGGAAGUGAACCAGCAGAUGGAAGUCCUCUCUGUAACUUUACCUUUUAAAUAAAUAUUUAAAAAAUAUUAAUAGAGUGUAAUGGUCUUAAACUGCACAUGCAAAAUUCCCAAAUUGCUUUUUUAAAGGAAACAAAAAGGUAAAGUAUAUUAAAAAGAUACAUACACCCACUGAAGGAAAUGCUCCCAAAUGGUAGUAGAAACUGCUGCUAACGAGAUCACGAGUUUUACUUUAACAUUUUUCCGAAUUGAGUACAUACUUUACAUUUUCUCGUAACAGGAAAAAGUACACAUAUUAUUUAAUACUAAAAAUCCUUAAUCCAAGUAAAUAGGCAAGCGAAGCCUAUUUGGGUACUGAACCAACAGGCGGAACCUGUCUGUGUCUCUCAAGUAACUAAACAGAAACAUUCUGGUGGACCUGGUUCGGGUUUCAGGCCAACACCACAGGGACUCAAACGCGUGAGAAGUAAGGGGGAGACUUUAUCACUCCAUUUUCAGAUGAAAAACCAGAAACCGAGUGGACUGUAACACGCAGAGCAGAGAUGACCAAAAGCCAAGGUUCCCUACCCCACGCCGGUCAGCAUCGGGUGUGCGUGCGGUCACUCAAGCAGACACGCCCUCUCGCAGCUGGGCCGGGCAGGGGCCGCGGCGGGGUCGCAGCAGCGGGCCGCCGCACCUGCUCUCCCCACGCAGAGUCACGGCCGGACCCACGAGGGGGCUCCGUCACGCUCCAAAACCAGCCAAGGACGACGCAGCGAGCCGACCCCGAACCCACUUCCGCGUCUCGGACUCUGACGAGUCGCCGCCCCAACACGGCCCAACGCCUCCCAAGACACGAGAACCAGUCGGUCCCGCGCCCUCGCCCCUGCCCGCCACGCGCGCGGCACCACGGCGUCCGGCCCGGGCUCCCCACGCCCGCGGCACCACGGCGUCCGGCCCGGGCUCCCCAAACGCGCGGCACCACGGCGUCCGGCCCGGGCUCCCCCACGCGCGGCACCACCGCGUCCGGCCCCGGCUCCCCAAACGUGCGGCACCACCGCGUCCGGCCCGGGCUCCCCAACUCACCGGGGAGCUGCUAA
This 1375-nucleotide long non-coding RNA is filed under the name Oryctolagus cuniculus (rabbit). RNAcentral's name for it is "lncRNA (ENSOCUG00000035292.1)". Lineage: Eukaryota; Metazoa; Chordata; Mammalia; Lagomorpha; Leporidae. The record is from RNAcentral.